RNAcentral lists this ribosomal RNA (476 nucleotides) under uncultured Gemmata sp. RNAcentral describes it as "partial 16S ribosomal RNA". It matches the Rfam family "Bacterial small subunit ribosomal RNA", at positions 36 to 525 of the family's 1533-position model. The record is from RNAcentral. Lineage: Bacteria; Pseudomonadati; Planctomycetota; Planctomycetia; Gemmatales; Gemmataceae.
UUUUUUUUGUGGCCUCCCUUAUAGCAGCAGUCGACGAAUCCCGGGGUGCAAUACCUCGGGGGAAGUGGCGAAAGGGGCAGUAAUACAUGGGUAACCUACCCUGGGGAUGGGCAUAGCCGGCCUAACGGCCGGGUAAUUCCCAGAGAGUCGACGGGUUGGCAUCAAUCUGUCGGGAAAUGAAUUUCGCCUCGGGAGGGGCCCAUGCGAUAUCAGCUAGUUGGUGGGGUAACGGCCCACCAAGGCUUAGACGUCUAGCGGGUGUGAGAGCACGACCCGCGCCACUGGCACUGAGACACUGGCCAGACACCUACGGGUGGCUGCAGUCGAGGAUCUUCGUCAAUGGGCGCAAGCCUGAACGAGCGAUGCCGCGUGAGCGAUGAAGGCCUUCGGGUUGUAAAGCACUGUCGUGGGGGGGGAAACCUGACCCCCCCCAGGAGGAAGCACGGGCUAAGUUCGUGCCAGCAGCCGCGGUAAUA